GGUUCUCCACAUCAUUUUGCGGGGCUGCCUCAUAACUUGCAGUAUAGUGGAAAUGUUGCUCAGUUCACCCCAUCAGGCCUCCCCAUUAAUAACCGGCAACCUAGUCAUUGGUUGAGCCAAAGCAGUUUAUUUUCUGGUGAAAAUCCAAACCUUGUACCUAACUUGUUGCAGCAACAGUUGCAUCACCCAAAGGGGUUAACACCUACUCAGUUAUACUCUCUGCA
RNAcentral lists this unclassified non-coding RNA (224 nucleotides) under Hevea brasiliensis (rubber tree). Lineage: Eukaryota; Viridiplantae; Streptophyta; Magnoliopsida; Malpighiales; Euphorbiaceae. The record is from RNAcentral.